Long non-coding RNA from Aquila chrysaetos chrysaetos, 1088 nucleotides. RefSeq lists it as uncharacterized. The record is from RefSeq and is a predicted model, not a curated record. NCBI's taxonomy places the organism in Eukaryota, Metazoa, Chordata, Aves, Accipitriformes, Accipitridae. The transcript is spliced from 3 exons.
AAUCUUAGUACGCAAAGCAGCUGUUUAAGGAGUAGAGCACAGUACUGGGAUUUCUAAAACUAGGAAAUCAAUAAAGCCGACAACAACAACAUGAUGCUAGAAAAAACAAGAUGAGGAAUCUUACAAAUAAGAAAGAAUUGCUUUAUGUGAGGUGAACUUGCACUGUCUGGAAAGAUGUCUUCCUAUGGACAGAUGCUUAGCUCCCGCUGUGCUCCGCCAUGUGAAGUGAGAUGCUCGCAACCACCUAUUGACUGUUGGAAUGAACCUUGUAUCACAUCAUGCGGAGAUUCAAGAGCAAUUGUGUACGCGCCACCUGUUGUUGUGACUUUCCCGGGACCCAUUAUCAGCUCGUGCCCUCAGGAAAGUUUUGUGGGAACUGCCAUACCUGAAAUUGAGGGUCAGAUGGGCUCUGGAGGUGGAGGAAUGGGGUCUGGCAGUUCCUGUGGUGGAGGCAGCUCCUAUGGGAUGGGCUCCCAUGGUUCAGGUGGUUCUUAUGGUGGCAUGGGAGGGGGCUCAUAUGGUGGAGAGGGCUCGUGUGGUGGUGGAAUCUCCCGUUUGGGAAGCUUUUACCGAAACUCAUAUUUUUCAGGAUUUGGUAGAAAUUAUCUCCCCUUUUUUUCCAGAGCUUAUUAUAGGUAUCGCUAUGGAAGCUAUGGGCCAUUUUAAAUCUUCAAGAAAGAGUAAUGACUGAAGGAACAAUAAAAUACAAACUAGUAGUUGACAUAUAGACCUGGAAAUCAGACAUGCCAAGCAGCCUCUGCUCCAGCUGAUGUCAGUAGGAGCUGGGGUUGCUUGGGAUCUCAUUGCGCUUUUUCUAAGGCUUAUGAUCCCAAUGUUGCCUCACUUUGUCAUUUGCUCAUGUUAUGUUUUGUUUUUUUCUGAACCUAAAGAGAGUAAAACAAGUAAUGGGACUUGACUGUGAAAGUGUCCAGCUGAAGAAGAAUGUCUUGUGAGUCCUGUGCUCCUCUGAAUGACUGAUUGAUUGUAGUCCUUGUUGAAAUGGAAAUUACAUUCUUUGUCUCUGCAUUGCCUCAUUCUGCAAGAAUGUAUUCCACUUUUUGUUUGUAUUAAAGCCCUGUUGCAUCAUA